CCUGGGCGACCCCACCGCCUGUCCCAAGACGGGCCAUGGCACCAACCCCAUCGCCAGCGGCUCGCCCGACGU
Molecule: small RNA, 72 nt
Organism: Pseudomonas sp. BAY1663
Lineage: Bacteria; Pseudomonadati; Pseudomonadota; Gammaproteobacteria; Pseudomonadales; Pseudomonadaceae
Rfam family: Pseudomonas sRNA P10
Source: Rfam